CUUGUUCGAAUGUAUUUAUUGGUCGGUAUAUCAUGAAAUAUAAAAGUUAAACAGUUAAUAUAUAAUCAACUUGAAUUUGCCAUUGAUGAGGGACAUUCCGUUUUAAAUUUUCCUUGAAAGUCGGUAUUUUUGUAUUUUAGUAUUUUUUUAAACCGUUUGUAAAUUAAAAACAGCAUUGAAAUCACAUUUAAAUGACAUUGCGUAAGCCAUUGAUCUUCAGAGACCAGGUAGCAUGCAUAAAGUAUCAAUUGUAUGUAUCAAAGGACCCGUUGUUAAAUACUGUCUUCUUCUAUGAUUACUAUUGGGAAUUCUCACCUGUAUAUCUAUGAUUGUAUCUAUUCAACAUAACCGCGAUUGAUGUGAACAGUCUUUUCAUGUACAUGUUGGACCGAUCCAAACAUUUGUAGACCGGUAUGUUUUCCAAAUAGUGAUUAUUUUGAUUUGUAAAUAUUUAAGUAAUCGAUAUCAUUUAAAUGUAAACUGGGAAAAAAAUUUACUUAAUUUCCUGCCCUGGAUGAAAUGUACAAUGAACUUGAAAAAUACACAAUGAAUGUUGAUAGGCAUGAAACAAAAUUGUUUAAAUGCCGAAUUAUCUGUAUUAUAAUAGGUAAUAUUGUAUUUGAAACUGAUAACGAAGCUAAACUUCUGGGUGUGUAAAAUUGAUCGUUGAUUGUUCUGUGAUAUGGUCAUACCAUAUCGAUAUUUAAAAAAGAUCGAGAAAAUGUGUGUAUCGAACAGAUAGAAGUGUUUCACCUUACCUGAAGUAUUGAACUUUAAUAUUUUUCCACAUUUUAGUGAUCGGUGAAUUAUCUGGUCAGGUGCAAAAAUGAUGUUGAUAUUACUAAAAAUGUCAAGCUUCAUAUAUAGAAGAACAGCACGAUUACAUUUAGAGGAGCGUUAUAUUAUGACAUAUACAUACAUUUUUUAGAUAUCUGGGAUCGAUUCUAAAACAGUAAUUGAUUGGCCAUUAUGACAAAAGUGUGUCAGAAAUCAUAUCUGAUAUUCUUCCUAAGUCAUAAUAACCUUCCAUCAUUACCGAACUGAACAAAGAAAUAACACGACGGAUGCCGUAUACGGUGCAGGAAAUGCUUACGCUUCCGGAGCACCUGAUUUCACUCCCGGUUUUUCGUGGAGUUCGUGUUGUUUCUUAUUUCCUAUUUGUAACUGUUGAUGUAAAUGUCUUUUGGUUUUAUGAGUCUUUGUUAACUCAUUGGUUUUGAUUGUUAUUGUCUUAUUUGUAGUAGUAUUUUUUUAUUAUUGAAAUGUUUAAUUCAUGUUGUAAUAUAUGUAUUUAAUGCAGAACUCUAGUAAACUAAUUUUUGGAUUACAUAUGUUAUCCUGUUGAAAUUAAGGAUAUUAUCAAUAUAUAAUUAAAACCAGGAAUUGUCAAGUUUGCGGGCCUUUUUUAAUCGUAGAAGGAAAUAUCGAUGGGACCGUGAAUACGUAAUUUUACAAUAAACUCAAUAUAAAAAAAGUUUCUAAACAAACUAAUAGAUAAAUUGAAUUUUGAAUACCAAAUCAAUAAACAAAAAUCUCUCAAAAUAGUGUAAAACGGCAAAUUUAUAUGAACGAUAACUAUUUUGUCACGUUAAAGACUUCAAAUUCACAGCAUAAGUGAUCUUUCUUAGGUAC
Molecule: long non-coding RNA, 1632 nt
Filed under: Mytilus galloprovincialis (Mediterranean mussel)
Lineage: Eukaryota; Metazoa; Mollusca; Bivalvia; Mytilida; Mytilidae
Source: RNAcentral